UACCGACUAGCUAGCCCCACCCUAAAAACAACAAACCACUAUUAAUACCCCCAAAAAUAUUGACACGCAUAAAACAAAUCAUUUUUCCCC
RNAcentral lists this ribosomal RNA (90 nucleotides) under Plectranthias maekawa. RNAcentral's name for it is "partial 16S rRNA". The record is from RNAcentral. Lineage: Eukaryota; Metazoa; Chordata; Actinopteri; Perciformes; Anthiadidae.